ACUACGGGAGGCUGCAGUGGGGAAUAUUGCACAAUGGGCGCAAGCCUGAUGCAGCCAUGCCGCGUGUGUGAAGAAGGCCUUCGGGUUGUAAAGCACUUUCAGCGGGGAGGAAGGCGGUGAGGUUAAUAACCUCAUCGAUUGACGUUACCCGCAGAAGAAGCACCGGCUAACUCCGUGCCAGCAGCCGCGGUAAUACGGAGGGUGCAAGCGUUAAUCGGAAUUACUGGGCGUAAAGCGCACGCAGGCGGUCUGCCAAGUCGGAUGUGAAAUCCCCGGGCUCAACCUGGGAACUGCAUUCGAAACUGGCAGGCUAGAGUCUUGUAGAGGGGGGUAGAAUUCCAGGUGUAGCGGUGAAAUGCGUAGAGAUCUGGAGGAAUACCGGUGGCGAAGGCGGCCCCCUGGACAAAGACUGACGCUCAGGUGCGAAAGCGUGGGGAGCAAACAGGAUUAGAUACCCCGGUAGUC
This 465-nucleotide ribosomal RNA is filed under the name uncultured Klebsiella sp. RNAcentral describes it as "bacterial SSU rRNA". It matches the Rfam family "Bacterial small subunit ribosomal RNA", at positions 338 to 795 of the family's 1533-position model. Lineage: Bacteria; Pseudomonadati; Pseudomonadota; Gammaproteobacteria; Enterobacterales; Enterobacteriaceae. The record is from RNAcentral.